Molecule: long non-coding RNA, 1890 nt
Organism: Homo sapiens (human)
Lineage: Eukaryota; Metazoa; Chordata; Mammalia; Primates; Hominidae
Exons: 2
Source: RefSeq, a predicted model, not a curated record
ACAGUUAGUUUUCUGUGUCAACUUACCAGGCUACAGUACCAAGUUAUUUAAUCAAACACCCAUCUCCGUGUUGUUGUGAAGAUAUUUUGUAGAUGUGGUUAACAAUCAGUUGACUUUAAGUAAAAUAAAUUAUCCUUGAUACUGUGAGUGGAUCCUAUGAAAUCAGUUAAAAGGCCUUAAAAUCAAAAAUCUAGGUUUUCAGGAGAAGAUGAAAUUCUGCCUCAAGGCCACAGCACUAACUCAGCCUGAGUUUCCAGUCUUUGGGGCUGCCCUACGGAUUUCGGGCUUGCAAGAUUAUAAUCGUGAGCUAAUUCCUAGAAAUAACUCUCUUAAUAGAAAUAUAUAUUGGUUCUGUUUCUCUGAAGAACCCUGACUGAUACAUAAGAAAAGAAAUGGAUUGGUGAAGUUAAUAAAAACAAAAGCACAGCAGGCUUUGAAAAUCAUCAAGUCCAAAUCACCUGGUUGUUCUGCAUAUGAGGAAACCAAGGCUCAGAGAAGUGAUGAAACUUGUCCAGUGUCACACAGCAAGUUAGGAAAGGCGGUGUCUUCACACUUCUCCAUCAAAGAGUGCCUGGUAGCCGUGUGUUUUCUAUAGCUUAUAUUUUAAUUUCUAAACGUCUAUGAAUUUUGCAUUCUAUUCCAUUAUAUAAUUGUGUUUUCCAUUUUUAAGUAGUGUUUUAUUUUCCAAAUCGUUUUCCCUAACAUUUCUGCUCUAGGAAGGAGUGCCACGCCUGUUCCGCGGACUUCUGACCCCGCACACCAACCCGAUGGAAGUAGUGAAGACAGUAGGGACGCACAGCACAGUGACUGAAGCCUGAAACCCUGAGGCUCAGUAAAACUUCAAUUCCUAGAAGCCUAAGGCAAUCGAAUGUUCUCGAAAUAGACCUUCCAGAAUCAAUGCAAUUUUCGGUUCAGCUUUUAGAUGCGUAUAAGAUACUCUUUCUUUGCUGUGGGAUUUUUCUGGUGCUUGAGAUCUUCUUUCCCGAGCGUUCUCCUUGCAGAGAUCUUUUGAUAUGGAGCGGCGUGCACGCAGCCCCUAGGUUGGGCGCUGAGGGGCAUCGCUGAUGCGAUCCACGUGCCUCCCCGUCCUCAGGCCGCUUCCUUUCCUGGUUUCCAGGUCCUCGUUUCUCCCAGCGCUGCCCUCCCCAUCUAAGCCCAAGUCGCCGUGAGCCCGCGCUGCCCCCUUGUGGCCAAAGCCCUCCCCAGCUCAGGAAACGGGAACGCUUGGCGGCCAGGCUGAGAGUCGGUGCGCGUGACCCGGCUUCUGCUCGCAGCAUCCAAGAAGUUGCAAUAACGUGGAAGGAUGGGGAACGGCGCCUCCCUGGCUAGCGUGAAACUCAGCCACAGCACAAAAUUGAGGCUGUUGGCCGUGAGCGGCUCUCAAAGCUGAAUUUGAGCCAUGCUAAAAUACUUACCUUGGACAUAAGCUAAGCUUUAAGUUUGUUGUUUAUAACUUCAAAGAGAGACAAGGGACAGUGACUUAAGAAUAUUCUAAGCUAUAAAUUUACAUGUGGACUUUGCUACACACCUGGGAUGCAGCCAGAUGAGUUUUGUUCCAUUGCAGUACAUCUGAUGACCAGAAUUCUAUCAGAGAAUGUUAAUGAACGAAAAGCCUGAGCUUUAAGACUGAGAUUGGUACCACGGGUAGUCAUGGCCACCUGCUGGCAGCGUAGGGUACUGCAGCCCAGCUAUGGUUCAGACUAAAAGCCGAGAAACGCCUGUGGUCCAGGGAAAGGUAUGAAGAUCAUAUAAACCGGCGGUGGACAGGAAAUGCCACAGUCAAGAAGAUGCCCCUGGGAUGCUGAGCUCUUACAACUCGAAAUCAACAGCUUUUACAAAUAAAACCGCUGCAAAAGCAAUAGCUCUUACAAAUAAAACUGAUAAUUUGGA